RNAcentral lists this ribosomal RNA (419 nucleotides) under Escherichia coli. Its description in RNAcentral is "bacterial SSU rRNA". It matches the Rfam family "Bacterial small subunit ribosomal RNA", at positions 283 to 694 of the family's 1533-position model. Lineage: Bacteria; Pseudomonadati; Pseudomonadota; Gammaproteobacteria; Enterobacterales; Enterobacteriaceae. The record is from RNAcentral.
CUAGCUGGUCUGAGAGGAUGACCAGCCACACUGGAACUGAGACACGGUCCAGACUCCUACGGGAGGCAGCAGUGGGGAAUAUUGCACAAUGGGCGCAAGCCUGAUGCAGCCAUGCCGCGUGUAUGAAGAAGGCCUUCGGGUUGUAAAGUACUUUCAGCGGGGAGGAAGGGAGUAAAGUUAAUACCUUUGCUCAUUGACGUUACCCGCAGAAGAAGCACCGGCUAACUCCGUGCCAGCAGCCGCGGUAAUACGGAGGGUGCAAGCGUUAAUCGGAAUUACUGGGCGUAAAGCGCACGCAGGCGGUUUGUUAAGUCAGAUGUGAAAUCCCCGGGCUCAACCUGGGAACUGCAUCUGAUACUGGCAAGCUUGAGUCUCGUAGAGGGGGGUAGAAUUCCAGGUGUAGCGGUGAAAUGCGUAGA